Molecule: ribosomal RNA, 468 nt
Filed under: uncultured bacterium
Lineage: Bacteria
Description: partial 16S ribosomal RNA
Rfam family: Bacterial small subunit ribosomal RNA
Source: RNAcentral
GACGAACGCUGGCGGCGUGCUUAACACAUGCAAGUCGAACGGAAAGGCCCUGCUUUUGUGGGGUGCUCGAGUGGCGAACGGGUGAGUAACACGUGAGUAACCUGCCCUUGACUUUGGGAUAACUUCAGGAAACUGGGGCUAAUACCGGAUAGGAGCUCCUGCUGCAUGGGGGGGGUUGGAAAGUUUCGGCGGUUGGGGAUGGACUCGCGGCUUAUCAGCUUGUUGGUGGGGUAGUGGCUUACCACGGCUUUGACGGGUAGCGGGCCUGAGAGGGUGACAGGCCAUAUUGGGAUUGAGGUUCUGCCCAUACUCCUACUGGAGGCAGCGGUCCGAGUUAUUUCACUAGGGGCGUAAGCCUGAUUCAUCAACGCCGCGUUCGGGAUGACGUCCUUCGGGUUAUUAACCGCGUUCGCCUGUGACGAAGCGUGAGUGACGGUAUUGGGUAAAGAAGCACCGGCUAACUACGUG